This 465-nucleotide ribosomal RNA is filed under the name Vreelandella stevensii. RNAcentral describes it as "partial 16S ribosomal RNA". It matches the Rfam family "Bacterial small subunit ribosomal RNA", at positions 338 to 795 of the family's 1533-position model. The record is from RNAcentral. Lineage: Bacteria; Pseudomonadati; Pseudomonadota; Gammaproteobacteria; Oceanospirillales; Halomonadaceae.
CCUACGGGAGGCUGCAGUGGGGAAUAUUGGACAAUGGGCGAAAGCCUGAUCCAGCCAUGCCGCGUGUGUGAAGAAGGCCUUCGGGUUGUAAAGCACUUUCAGUGGGGAAGAAAGCCUUGGGGCUAAUACCCUCGAGGAAGGACAUCACCCACAGAAGAAGCACCGGCUAACUCCGUGCCAGCAGCCGCGGUAAUACGGAGGGUGCGAGCGUUGAUCGGAAUUACUGGGCGUAAAGCGCGCGUAGGCGGUCUGAUAAGCCGGUUGUGAAAGCCCCGGGCUCAACCUGGGAACGGCAUCCGGAACUGUCAGGCUAGAGUGCAGGAGAGGAAGGUAGAAUUCCCGGUGUAGCGGUGAAAUGCGUAGAGAUCGGGAGGAAUACCAGUGGCGAAGGCGGCCUUCUGGACUGACACUGACGCUGAGGUGCGAAAGCGUGGGUAGCAAACAGGAUUAGAUACCCCGGUAGUC